CGUAGUCGGAUUUUGGCUGAGAACGGUCGGUCCGCCGUUAGGUGUGCUUUGACUGGUCUCAGCUUCCUGGUGAGGAGGUGUGCUUCAUCGCCACUUAGUCACCGUGGUUACUUUGAAAAAAUUAGAGUGUUCAAAGCGGGCUUACGCUUGAAUAUAUUAGCAUGGAAUAACACCAUAGGACUCCUGUCCUAUUUCGUUGGUCUCGGGACGGGAGUAAUGAUUAAGAGGAACAGUUGGGGGCAUUCGUAUUUCAUUGUCAGAGGUGAAAUUCUUGGAUUUAUGAAAGACGAACUUCUGCGAAAGCAUUUGCCAAGGAUGUUUUCAUUGAUCAAGAACGAAAGUUGGGGGCUCGAAGAUGAUUAGAUACCAUCCUAGUCUCAACCAUAAACGAUGCCGACUAGGGAUUGGCGGAUGUUAAUUGAUGACUUCGCCAGCACCUUAUGAGAAAUCAAAGUUUUUGGGUUCCGGGGGGAGUAUGGUCGCAAGGCUGAAACUUAAAGGAAUUGACGGAAGGGCACCACCAGGCGUGGAGCCUGCGGCUUAAUUUGACUCAACACGGGGAAACUUACCAGGUCCAGACAUAGUAAGGA
RNAcentral lists this ribosomal RNA (590 nucleotides) under uncultured eukaryote. RNAcentral's name for it is "SSU rRNA". It matches the Rfam family "Eukaryotic small subunit ribosomal RNA", at positions 629 to 1239 of the family's 1831-position model. The record is from RNAcentral.